RNAcentral lists this ribosomal RNA (262 nucleotides) under uncultured archaeon. Its description in RNAcentral is "partial 16S ribosomal RNA". It matches the Rfam family "Archaeal small subunit ribosomal RNA", at positions 748 to 1009 of the family's 1478-position model. The record is from RNAcentral.
CAGCCGUAAACUAUGCGCGUUAGGUGUAUCGGUGACCACGAGUUACCGAGGUGCCGAAGGGAAACCGUGAAACGUGCCGCCUGGGAAGUACGGUCGCAAGGCUGAAACUUAAAGGAAUUGGCGGGGGAGCACCACAACAGGUGGAGCCUGCGGUUUAAUUGGACUCAACGCCGGACAUCUCACCAGGAGCGACAGCUGUAUGAUUACCAGGUUGAUGACCUUGUUUGACUAGCUGAGAGGUGGUGCCAUGGCGUCAGUGACU